UGACUUCUGGAGGUCAGCCUGGCAUCUGCACUGCUCGGGGGGGGGGGGAAUUUCCCUGUUGCCCCCUGGAUCCACCCCUAGGGUGUGCUGACCCUUGCGAUUUCCCCAAAUGCGGGAAACUCGACUUCAUAAUUGAUGGUAGUGGGGGACUGCGUUCGCACUUUCCCCUG
This 170-nucleotide small nuclear RNA is filed under the name Leptobrachium leishanense (Leishan spiny toad). RNAcentral's name for it is "U1 spliceosomal RNA (ENSLLEG00000018956.1)". It matches the Rfam family "U1 spliceosomal RNA". Rfam says of the family: U1 is a small nuclear RNA (snRNA) component of the spliceosome (involved in pre-mRNA splicing). The record is from RNAcentral. Lineage: Eukaryota; Metazoa; Chordata; Amphibia; Anura; Megophryidae.